UACGUAGGGGGCAAGCGUUGUCCGGAAUCAUUGGGCGUAAAGCGCGCGUAGGCGGCCCGGUAAGUCCGCUGUAAAAGUCCAGGGCUCAACCCUGGAAAGCCGGUGGAUACUGUCGGGCUAGAGUCCGGAAGAGGCGAGUGGAAUUCCUGGUGUAGCGGUGGAAUGCGCAGAUAUCAGGAGGAACACCUGCGGUGUAGACGGCUUUCUGGACCAUUGCUGACGCUGAGACACGAAAGCGUGGGUAGCAAACAGG
RNAcentral lists this ribosomal RNA (253 nucleotides) under uncultured bacterium. RNAcentral describes it as "partial 16S ribosomal RNA". It matches the Rfam family "Bacterial small subunit ribosomal RNA", at positions 524 to 776 of the family's 1533-position model. The record is from RNAcentral.